CAAGGCUUGACAUAUACGAGAACGGGCCAGAAAUGGUCAACUCUUUGGACACUCGUAAACAGGUGGUGCAUGGUUGUCGUCAGCUCGUGUCGUGAGAUGUUGGGUUAAGUCCCGCAACGAGCGCAACCCUCGUUCUAUGUUGCCAGCACGUAAUGGUGGGAACUCAUGGGAUACUGCCGGGGUCAACUCGGAGGAAGGUGGGGAUGACGUCAAAUCAUCAUGCCCCUUAUGUCUUGGGCUUCACGCAUGCUACAAUGGCCGGUACAAAGGGGUGCAAUACCGUAAGGUGGAGCGAAUCCCAAAAAGCCGGUCCCAGUUCGGAUUGAGGUCUGCAACUCGACCUCAUGAAGUCGGAGUCGCUAGUGAUCGCAGAUCAGCAACGCUGCGGUGAAUACGUUCCC
RNAcentral lists this ribosomal RNA (401 nucleotides) under uncultured bacterium. Its description in RNAcentral is "bacterial SSU rRNA". It matches the Rfam family "Bacterial small subunit ribosomal RNA", at positions 975 to 1375 of the family's 1533-position model. The record is from RNAcentral.